Molecule: long non-coding RNA, 1179 nt
Filed under: Triticum aestivum (bread wheat)
Lineage: Eukaryota; Viridiplantae; Streptophyta; Magnoliopsida; Poales; Poaceae
Description: long non-coding RNA (TAES_LNC007889)
Source: RNAcentral
GGGACUCGAGAGCCUACGGCCCUGUAAGAAACAAAUCCUACUGCUCCCUUGGAAAUUUUCACCUAAUUCCUUCGCGUCAUCUUGAUAUGAUAGAUAAAACUGCAAUCAAGCAUCAGUUCACCAUAGGCAGUGUUGAUGAUUUUUCAAGUCCAUGCGAAAACGGUUCCUUGUAAUGUACCAGUGCUGCUGCUAGCUUAAUCGCGGUUUGUGUUUGUGACUGAAGCUGGUCAGAAAAGCGAGCAACUCAGACUCCUUGCCCGGGUUUGUUAGACAAUGGAAACUGCCCCCAUCUACUUGUAGCUUGAUUAUUUAGCACCUGACACCAACAUGUCGAAUCCCUAUCGGUUUUGGAUGGAAGGGGCUUAAGCGUCGACCCAGUUUAUUUCUGUGAAACCCAAAUAACACCCAUUACACUUCGGGCUUAAACAUGAAUGAAAGCAACCUAAAGAUGAACCGGAACCAACAUGAAGCCGCUCCUUCCUUUGUUCUGGGGUCUUCCUAUCUUGCACUGCCCCCUUACCUGUUAUGCAUCAUUGUACUACACUGUUUAUAUCUUCCGGUUUGAUCUAGCUGCUGUUUGUAUUGUACCAAAUUGAACCCAUAUUUUUCCUCAAAAAAAAAAAUUGAACCCAUAUUGCUUAUAGCUCCCUUAAAUAAGUGCCUAAUGCCUAUUUUUGAUACUGCUAUGGAAAACAUAUCGCCGGGUCCAUGCUAGCGUGAAUUGCUUCUGUCGCUCAUCUUUAGUCAGGAAAACGGUUGAUGGUUUCAGUUGCAGAAAACAUAUCUGUGCCUUGGUCCUGGCAAUGAUGAACAUGUUAAUUCUUGUGCUGUCUGCAGGUGCCGCUCGGUCUGGUGCAGGGGAGGGUGACGCACGUGGUGUGGCCGCCUAGCAAGAUGGGCCGCGUCCACAAGAGGGUGCCGUCGGAAGGAAGGGUCAUGCCACAGCGCAAUCUCUAGCCUCCCUCGGCGGCCGCUUUGUCCCGCAGUUGUGUUGGUUCUCGCAGGAGAUUCAUCAUCUCAUGUAAUAACAGAUGUAACAUGAACACACAUUGCGCGUUCCAGAUGUGGCAGAGCAAUAGAGAGUUUCUUCCCGUGUAACAUCACCUAUCGGCUGUAUAAGAAGGGAUCCAUCCAUUCUAAGGGAAGGGGAAGCAGAGGUUUUGGUAGGAGGAGCCUGCU